AACGAACGCUGGCGGCAUGCCUAACACAUGCAAGUCGAACGAACCCUUCGGGGUUAGUGGCGCACGGGUGCGUAACGCGUGGGAAUCUGCCCUUUGCUUCGGAAUAACUCAGGGAAACUUGUGCUAAUACCGGAUGAUGUCUUCGGACCAAAGAUUUAUCGGCACGGGAUGAGCCCGCGUAGGAUUAGGUGGUUGGUGGGGUAAAGGCCUACCAAGCCGACGAUCCUUAGCUGGUCUGAGAGGAUGAUCAGCCACACUGGGACUGAGACACGGCCCAGACUCGUACGGGAGGCAGCAGUGGGGAAUAUUAGACAAUGGGCGCAAGCCUGAUCAAGCAAUGCCGCGUGAGUGAUGAAGGCCCUCGGGUCGUAAAGCUCUUUUAGCAGGGAUGAUAAUGACAGUACCUGGAGAAUAAGCUCCGGCUAACUCCGUG
RNAcentral lists this ribosomal RNA (433 nucleotides) under uncultured bacterium. RNAcentral's name for it is "partial 16S ribosomal RNA". It matches the Rfam family "Bacterial small subunit ribosomal RNA", at positions 29 to 507 of the family's 1533-position model. The record is from RNAcentral.